This is a long non-coding RNA of Triticum dicoccoides, 693 nucleotides long. RefSeq lists it as uncharacterized. NCBI's taxonomy places the organism in Eukaryota, Viridiplantae, Streptophyta, Magnoliopsida, Poales, Poaceae. The transcript has 5 exons. The record is from RefSeq and is a predicted model, not a curated record.
UCCGGGCCGACCCGCACACUAUGAUCCCGUGCGGUGCGGGAGAGCGGCACGGCGGCGGAGAAACCUCGGCGACCAGACGACGGCGCAGGUUGACUCCGGUCCGGCGUGGUGAAUCUGCAGCGGCGGUUAGAUCAAGGCAAGGAUUGGUCGGAAAGCUGGGCUGUACAUAAACUCAAAGAAGUUUGGCGGCGAUGUUAAGCCGUGCAUGCUGGAGAUGACGGCCUUCCUCAACUGCCCCGCCUUGAACAAGCAGAUCGAUCAAAGCACCAAUUGGCAGUGAGAGGUAGAAGGGGAAUGUUGACACCGUGUUCCAUGCUCCUUCAGACAUGGAGUCCAGGCGCGCACGGCUCCGUCGCCCCGCGCGCUCCAUUGGAGGAGCCCCCGCCCUGCGCGUGGCCGCCUUGGAGCUGGAGCGCUUCCUGCCCCACGCCCCUUGUCUGCUCUGGCGGCGGGUUCCUCCUGGCCGCGAUGAUGCCCGAGGCCGGCCGCUACACCCGCAAGAAGGAUGACGGCAUCUGCAACAGACGACGAGCGCGGCGACGAGUCCGACCAGGGCGCGCUGGCAGAGGAGGCCCAUGAGCUCGCCGCCCCUGAUGGCGAGGGCGUGCGCGACUUGGAUGGUGGCCGCCAAGGCCAACGCCGGUGAGGACGUCGUCCCGGAGUUCAUUGGGGGGCUCAUCCCAUUUGACAAGG